CCUACGGGAGGCAGCAGUGAGGAAUAUUGGUCAAUGGGCGGAAGCCUGAACCAGCCAAGUCGCGUGAAGGAUGAAGGUCCUAAGGAUUGUAAACUUCUUUUAUAAAGGAAUAAAGUCAGGCACGUGUGCCUUUUUGCAUGUACUUUAUGAAUAAGCAUCGGCUAACUCCGUGCCAGCAGCCGCGGUAAUACGGAGGAUGCGAGCGUUAUCCGGAUUUAUUGGGUUUAAAGGGUGCGUAGGUGGGUUGUUAAGUCAGCGGUUAAAGUUUGGGGCUCAACCGUAAAAUUGCCGUUGAUACUGGCAGUCUUGAGUAGGGUUGAGGUAGGCGGAAUGCGUGGUGUAGCGGUGAAAUGCUUAGAUAUCGCGAAGAACUCCGAUUGCGAAGGCAGCUUACUAGAGGGGAACUGACACUGAUGCACGAAAGUGUGGGUAUCAAACAGGAUUAGAUACCCUAGUAGUC
Molecule: ribosomal RNA, 460 nt
Filed under: uncultured bacterium
Lineage: Bacteria
Description: partial 16S ribosomal RNA
Rfam family: Bacterial small subunit ribosomal RNA
Source: RNAcentral